This 465-nucleotide ribosomal RNA is filed under the name uncultured bacterium. RNAcentral describes it as "partial 16S ribosomal RNA". It matches the Rfam family "Bacterial small subunit ribosomal RNA", at positions 338 to 795 of the family's 1533-position model. The record is from RNAcentral.
CCUACGGGAGGCAGCAGUAGGGAAUCUUCCACAAUGGACGAAAGUCUGAUGGAGCAACGCCGCGUGAGUGAAGAAGGGUUUCGGCUCGUAAAGCUCUGUUGGUGGUGAGGAAGGAUGUAGGUAGUAACUGGCCUUUAUUUGACGGUAAUUGCUUAGAAAGUCACGGCUAACUACGUGCCAGCAGCCGCGGUAAUACGUAGGUUGCAAGCGUUGUCCGGAUUUAUUGGGCGUAAAGCGCGCGCAGGCGGUUUAAUAAGUCUGAUGUGAAAGCCUUGGGCUCAACCGGAGAAUUGCAUCAGAAACUGUUGAACUUGAGUGUAGAAGAGGAGAGUGGAACUCCAGGUGUAGCGGUGGAAUGCGUAGAUAUAUGGAAGAACACCAGUGGCGAAGGCGGCUCUCUGGUCUGCAACUGACGCUGAGGUUCGAAAGCAUGGGUAGCGAACAGGAUUAGAUACCCGAGUAGUC